Molecule: ribosomal RNA, 585 nt
Filed under: uncultured Alphaproteobacteria bacterium
Lineage: Bacteria; Pseudomonadati; Pseudomonadota; Alphaproteobacteria
Description: bacterial SSU rRNA
Rfam family: Bacterial small subunit ribosomal RNA
Source: RNAcentral
AACGCUGGCGGCAGGCUAACACUGCAGGUCUAGCGCGCCUUCGGGCGAGCGCGCGGACGGGUUAGUAACGCGUGGGAACGUGCCCAGAUCUACGGAAUAGCCACUGGAAACGGUGAGUAAUACCGUAUACGCCCUUCGGGGGAAAGAUUUAUCGGAUUUGGAUCGGCCCGCGUUAGAUUAGGUACGUUGGUGGCGGUAACGGCUACCAAGCCUACGAUCUAUAGCUGGUUUUAGAGGAUGAUCAGCAACACUGGGACUGAGACACGGCCAGAACUCCUACGUGGAGUGCAGCAGUGGGGAAUCUUGGACAAUGGGGGCAAACCUGAUCCAGACCAUGCCGCGUGAGUGAAGAAGGCCCUAGGGUCGUAAAACUCUUUCGCACUGUGAUGAUAAUGACAGUAGCAGGUAAAGAAACCCCGGCUAACUCCCGUGCCAGCACAGCACGCGGUAAUACGGAGAGGGGUUAGCGUCUGUCGGAAUUACUGGGCGUAAAGCGCACGUAGGCGGAUUCAGCAAAGUUAGAGGUGAAAUCCCGGGGCUCAACCCCGGAACUGGCUUUAACAACUACUAGUCUAGAGUUCGAGA